Molecule: long non-coding RNA, 7778 nt
Filed under: Triticum aestivum (bread wheat)
Lineage: Eukaryota; Viridiplantae; Streptophyta; Magnoliopsida; Poales; Poaceae
Description: long non-coding RNA (TAES_LNC019907)
Source: RNAcentral
UUUGAAAUACUUGCACACAAACCGCGAGAAAGCGUUCCUGGAAAUCUCAGCCCAAAAAAGGAUGUUUAGUAAUUCUAAAAGGGACUACAGGAUGAAAAACAAUAGUUUUGGCAGUUAAAGUUUGAGAUUUGACGGUGUCGUAGAUCCGUUUGGUCAUCAGGUGUUACGAGCCACACCCAUGUCUAGCUAGAAUAGUGUGUUAGGCUCAGGCUAGAGAAGAAACGGGGAACAAACUGAUGAAAGAAUGAUCAAACCGAGGGGAUUCACUCAGAACUAACAAGAAUGAUAACGUGCUCCGACUAGAGCGGUUUAGGAACUUCUGGAAGGCUCUAGGGGAAUAAAGAUGGAAUGACUUCUAAUUUUUAGGUCCGUAUGAUUUGAAAUACUUUCACACAAACCGCGCGAAAGCGUUCCUGGAAAUCUCAGCCCCAAAAAGGACGUUUAGUAAUUCUAGAAGGGACUAUAGGAUGAAAAACAAUAGUUUUGGUAGUUAAAGUUUGAGAUUCGAUGGUGCCGUGGAUCCGUUUGGUCAUCAGGUGUUACGAGCCACACCCAUGUCUAGCUAGAAUAGUAUGUUAGGCUCAGGUUAGAGAAGAAACGGGGAACAAACUGAUGAAAAAAUGAUCAUACCAAGGGAAUUCACUCAGAACUAACAAGAAUGAUAACGUGCUCCGACUGGAGCGGUUUAGGAACUGCUGGAAGGCUCUAGGGGAAUAAAGAUGGAAUGACUUCUAAUUUUUACGUCCGUAUGAUUUGAAAUACUUGCACACAAACCACGCAAAAGCGUUCCUGGAAAUCUCAGCCUAAAAAAGGACGUUUAGUAAUUCUAAAAGGGACUACAGGAUGAAAAAUAAUAGUUUGGGCAGUUAAAAUUUGAGAUUCAACGGUGCCGUAGAUCCGUUUGGUCAUGAGGUGUUACGAGCCACACCCAUGUCUAGCUAGAAUAGUGUGUUAGGCUCAGGCUAGAGAAGAAACGGGGAACAAAUUGAUGAAAGAAUGAUCAUACCGAGGGAAUUCACUCAGAACUAACAAGAAUGAUAACGUGCUCCGACUGGAGCAGUUUGGAAACUGUUGGUAGGCUCUAGGGGAAUAAAGAUGGAAUCACUUCAAAUUUUUAGGUCCGUAUGAUUUGAAAUACUGGCACACAAACCGCGCGAAAGUGUUCCUGGAAAUCUCAGCCCAAAAAAGGACGUUUAGUAAUUCUAAAAGGGACUACAGGAUGAAAAACAAUACUUUUGGCAGUUAAAGUUUGAGAUUCGACGGUGCCGUAGAUCUGUUUGGUCAUCAGGUGUAACGAGCCACACCCAUGUCUAGCUAGAGUAGUGUGCUAGGCUCAGACUAGAGAAGAAACGGGGAACAAAGUGAUGAAAGAAUGAUCAUACCGAGGGAAUUCACUCAGAACUAACAAGAAUGAUAACGUGCUCCGACUGGAGCGGUUUAGGAACUGCUGGAAGGCUCUAGGGAAAUAAAGAUGGAAUGACUUCUAAUUUUUAGGUCCAUAUCAUUUGAAAUACGUGCACACAAACCCCGAGAAAGCGUUCCUGGAAAUCUCGGCCGAAAAAAGGAUGUUUAAUAAUUCUAAAAGGGACUACAGGAUGAAAAACAAUAGUUUUGGCAGUUAAAGUUUGAGAUUUGACGGUGCCGUAGAUCUGUUUGGUCAUCAGGGGUUACGAGCCACACCCAUGUCUAGCUAGAAUAGUGUGUUAGGCUCAGGCUAGAGAAGAAACGGGGAACAAAUUGAUGAAAGAAUGAUCAUACCGAGGGAAUUCACUCAGAACUAACAAGAAUGAUAACGUGCUCCGACUGGAGCAGUUUGGAAACUGUUGGUAGGCUCUAGGGGAAUAAAGAUGGAAUCACUUCUAAUUUUUAGGUCCGUAUGAUUUGAAAUACAUGCACACAAACCCCAAGAAAGCGUUCCUGGAAAUCUCGCCCCGAAAAACGACGUUUAGUAAUUCUAAAAGGGACUACAGGAUGAAAAACAAUACUUUUGGCAGUUAAAGUUUGAGAUUCGACGGUGCCGUAGAUCUGUUUGGUCAUCAGGUGUAACGAGCCACACCCAUGUCUAGCUAGAGUAGUGUGCUAGGCUCAGACUAGAGAAGAAACGGGGAACAAAGUGAUGAAAGAAUGAUCAUACCGAGGGAAUUCACUCAGAACUAACAAGAAUGAUAACAUGCUCCGACUGGAGCGGUUUAGGAAGUGCUGGAAGGCUCUAGGGAAAUAAAGAUGGAAUGACUUCUAAUUUUUAGGUCCAUAUCAUUUGAAAUACGUGCACACAAACCCCGAGAAAGCGUUCCUGGAAAUCUCGGCCGAAAAAAGGAUGUUUAAUAAUUCUAAAAGGGACUACAGGAUGAAAAACAAUAGUUUUGGCAGUUAAAGUUUGUGAUUCGAUGGUGCCGUAGAUCUGUUUGGUCAUCAGGUGUUACGAGCCACACCCAUGUCUAGCUAGAACAGUGUGUUAGGCUCAGGCUAGAGCAGAAACGGGGAACAAACUUAUGAAAGAAUGAUCAUACCGAGGGAAUUCACUCAGAACUAACAAGAAUGAUAACGUGCUCCAACUGGAGCGGUUUAGGAACUGCUGGAAGGCUCUAGGGGAAUAAAGAUGGAAUGACUUCAAAUUUUUAGGUCCGUAUGAUUUGAAAUACUUGCACACAAACCGCUAGAAAGCGUUCCUGGAAAUCUCAGCCCAAAAAAGGACGUUUAGUAAUUCUAAAAGGGACUACAGGAUGAAAAACAAUAGUUCUGGCAGUUAAAGUUUGAGCUUCGAUAAUGUCGUAGAUCCGUUUGGUCAUCAGGUGUAACGAGCCACACCCAUUUCUAGCUAGAGUAGUGUGCUAGGCUCAGACUAGAGAAGAAAUGGGCAACAAACUAAUGAAAGAAUGAUCAUACCGAGGGAAUUCACUCAGAACUAACAAGAAUGAUAACGUGCUCCGACUGGAGCGGUUUAGGAACUGCUGGAAGGCUCUAGGGGAAUAAAGAAGGAAUGACUUCUAAUUUUUAGGUCCGUAUGAUUUGAAAUGUGUGCACACAAACCCCGAGAAAGCAUUCCUGGAAAUCUCGGCCCAAAAAAGGACGUUUAGUAAUUCUAAAAGGGACUACAGGAUGAAAAACAAUAGUUUUGGCAGUUAAAGUUUGAGAUUCGAUAAUGCCGUAGAUCCGUUUGGUCAUCAGGUGUAACGAGCCACACCCAUGUCUGGUUAGAGUAGUGUGCUAGGCUCAGACUAGAUAAGAAACGGGGAACAAACUGAUGAAAGAAUGAUCAUACCGAGCGAAUUCACUCAGAACUAACAAGAAUGAUAACAUGCUCCGACUGGAGCGGUUUAGGAACUGCUGGAAGGCUCUAGGGGAAUAAAGAUGGAAUGACUUCUAAUUUUUAGGUCCGUAUGAUUUGAAAUACUUGCACACAAACCACGCGAAAGCGUUCCUGGAAAUCUCAGCCCAAAAAAGGACGUUUAGUAAUUCUAAAAGGGACUACAGGAUGAAAAACAAUAGUUUUGGCAGUUAAAGUUUGAGAUUCGACAGUGCCGUAGAUCCGUUUGGUCAUCAGGUAUUACGAGCCACACCCAUGUCUAGCUAGAAUAGUGUGCUAGGCUCAGGCUAGAGAAGAAACGGGGAACAAACUGAUGAAAGAAUGAUCAAACCGAGGGAAUUCACUCAGAACUAACAAUAAUGAUAACGUGCUCCGACUGGUGCGGUUUAGGAACUGCUGGAAGGCUCUAGGGGAAUAAAGAUGGAAUGACUUCUAAUUUUUAGGUCCGUAUGAUUUGAAAUACUUGCACACAAACCGCGCGAAAGCGUUCCUGGAAAUCUCAGCCCAAAAAAGGACGUUUAGUAAUUUUAAAAGGGACUAUAGGAUGAAAAACAAUAGUUUUGGCAAUUAAAGUUUGAGAUUCGACGGUGUCGUAGAUCCGUUUGGUCAUCAGGUGUUACGAGCCACACCCAUGUCUAGCUAGAAUAGUAUGUCAGGCUCAGGUUAGAGUAGAAACGGGGAACAAACUGAUGAAAGAAUGAUCAUACCAAGGGAAUUCACUCAGAACUAUCAAGAAUGAUAACGUGCUCCGACUGGAGUGAUUUAGGAACUGCUGGAAGGCUCUAGGGGAAUAAAGAUGGAAUGACUUCUAAUUUUUACGUCCGUAUGAUUUGAAAUACUUGCACACAAAUCACGCAAAAGCGUUCCUGGAAAUCUCAGCCUAAAAAAGGACGUUUAGUAAUUCUAAAAGGGACUACAGGAUGAAAAACAAUAGUUUGGGCAGUUAAAAUUUGAGAUUCGACGGUGCCGUAGAUCCGUUUGGUCAUCAGGUGUUACGAGCGACACCCUUGUCUAGCUAGAAUAGUGUGUUAGGCUCAGACUAGAGAAGAAACGGGGAACAAAGUGAUGAAAGAAUGAUCAUACCGAGGGAAUUCACUCAGAACUAACAAGAAUGAUAACGUGCUCCGACUGGAGCGGUUUAGUAACUGCUGGAAGGCUCUAGGGGAAUGAAGAUGGAAUGACUUCUAAUUUUUAGGUCCGUAUGAUUUGAAAUACAUGCACACAAACCCUGAGAAAGCGUUCCUGGAAAUCUCGGUCGAAAAAAGGAUGUUUAAUAAUUCUAAAAGGGACUACCGGAUGAAAAACAAUAGUUUUGGCAGUUAAAGUUUGUGAUUCGAUGGUGCCGUAGAUCUGUUUGGUCAUCAGGUGUUACGAGCCACACCCAUGUCUAUCUAGAAUAGUGUGUUAGGCUCAGGCUAGAGCAGAAACGGGGAACAGACUUAUGAAAGAAUGAUCAUACCGAGGGAAUUCACUCAGAACUAACAAGAAUGAUAACGUGCUCCGACUGGCGCGGUUUAGGAACUGCUGGAAGGCUCUAGGGGAAUAAAGAUGGAAAGACUUCUAAUUUUUAGGUCCGUAUGAUUUGAAAUACUUGCACACAAACCGCACGAAAGCGUUCCUGGAAAUCUCAGCCUAAAAAGGAUGUUUAGUAAUUCUAAAAGGGACUACAAGAUGAAAAAUAAUAGUUUGGGCAGUUAAAAUUUGAGAUUCGACGAUGCCGUAGAUCCGUUUGGUCAUCAGGUGUUAUGAGCCACACCCAUGUCUAGCUAGAAUAGUGUGUUAGGCUCAGGCUAGAGAAGAAACGGGGAACAAACUGAUGAAAGAAUGAUCAUACCGAGGGAAUUCACUCAGAACUAACAAGAAUGAUAACGUGCUCCGACUGGAGCAGUUUAGAAACUGCUGGAAGGCUCUAAUGGAAUAAAGAUGGAAUGCCUUCAAAUUUCUAGGUCCGUAUGAUUUGAAAUACUUGCACACAAACCGCUCGAAAGCGUUCCUGGAAAUCUCAGCCCAAAAAAGGACGUUUAGUAAUUCUAAAAGGGACUACAGGAUGAAAAACAAUAGUUUUGGCAGUUAAAGUUUGAGAUUCGAUGGUGCCGUAGAUCCGUUUGGUCAUCAGGUGUAACGAGCCACACACAUGUCUAGCUAGAGUAGUGUGCUAGGCUCAGACUAGAGAAGAAACGGGGAACAAAGUGAUGAAAGAAUGAUCAUACCGAGGGAAUUCACUCAGAACUUACAAGAAUGAUAACGUGCUCCGACUGGAGCGCUUUAGUAACUGCUGGAAGGCUCUAGGCGAAUAAAGAUGGAAUGACUUCUAAUUUUUAGGUCCGUAUGAUUUGAAAUACUUGCACACAAACCACGCAAAACCGUUCCUAGAAAUCUCGGUCGAAAAAAGGACGUUUAGUAAUUCUAAAAGGGACUACAGGAUGAAAAACAAUAGUUUUGGCAGUUAAAGUUUGAGAUUCGAUGGUGCCGUAGAUCCGUUUGGUCAUCAGGUGUUACGAGCCACACCCAUGUCUAGCUAGAGUAGUGUGCUAGGUUCAGACUAGAGAAGAAACGGGGAACAAAGUGAUUAAAGAAUGAUCAUACCGAGGGAAUUCACUCAGAACUAACAAGAAUGAUAACGUGCUCCGACUGGAGCGGUUUAGGAACUGCUGGAAGGCUCUAGGGGAAUAAAGAUGGAAUGACUUCUAAUUUUUACGUCCGUAUGAUUUGAAAUACAUGCACACAAACCACGCAAAAGCGUUCCUGGAAAUCUCAGCCUAAAAAAGGACGUUUAGUAAUUCUAAAAGGGACUACAGGAUGAAAAAUAAUAGUUUGGGCAGUUAAAAUUUGAGAUUCGACGCUGCCGUAGAUCCGUUUGGUCAUCAGGUCUUACGAGCCACACCCAUGUCUAGCUAGAAUAGUGUGUUAGGCUCAGGCUAGAGAAGAAACGGGGAACAAACUGAUGAAAGAAUGAUCAUACCGAGGGAAUUCACUCAGAACUAACAAGAAUGAUAACGUGCUCCGACUGGAGCAGUUUAGAAACUCCUGGAAGGCUCUAGGGGAAUAAAGAUGGAAUGACUUCAAAGUUUUAGGUCCGUAUGAUUUGAAAUACUUGCACACAAACCGCGUGAAAGCGUUCCUGGAAAUCUCAACCCAAAAAAGGGCGUUUAGUAAUUCUAAAAGGGACUACAGGAUGUAAAACAAUAGUUUUGGCAGUUAAAGUUUGAGAUUCGAUGGUGCCGUAGAUCCGUUUGGUCAUCAGGUGUAACGAGCCACACCCAUGUCUAGCUAGAGUAGUGUGCUAGGCUCAGACUAGAGAAGAAACGGGGAACAAAGUGAUGAAAGAAUGAUCAUACCGAGGGAAUUCACUCAUAACUAACAAGAAUGAUAACGUGCUCUGACUUGAGCGGUUUAGGAACUGCUGGAAGGCUAUAGGGGAAUAAAGAUGGAAUGACUUCAAAUUUUUAGGUCCGUAUGAUCUGAAAUACUUGCACACAAACCGCGAGAAAGCGUUCCUGGAAAUCUCAACCCAAAAAAGGACGUUUAGUAAUUCUAAAAGGGACUACAGGAUGAAAAACAAUAGUUCUGGCAGUUAUUGUUUGAGAUUCGAUAAUCUCGUAGAUCCGUUUGGUCAUCAGGUGUAACGAGCCACACCCAUGUCUAGCUAGAGUAGUGUGCUAGGCUCAGACUAGAGAAGAAACGGGGAACAAACUGAUGAAAGAAUGAUCAUACCGAGGGAAUUCACUUAGAACUAACAAGAAUGAUAACGUGCUCCGACUGGAGCGGUUUAGGAACUGCUGGAAGGCUCUAGGGGAAUAAAGAAGGAACGACUUCUAAUUUUUAGGUCCGUAUGAUUUGAAAUAUGUGCACACAAACCACGAGAAAGCGUUCCUAGAAAUCUCGGCCCAAAAGAGGACGUUUAGUAUUCUAAAAGGGACUACAGAAUGAAAAACAAUAGUUUUGGCAGUUAAAGUUUGAGAUUUGACGGUGCCGUAGAUCUGUUUGGUCAUCAGGGGUUACGAGCCACACCCAUGUCUAGCUAGAAUAGUGUGUUAGGCUCAGGCUAGAAAAGAAACGGGGAACAAAGUGAUGAAAGAAUGAUCAUACCGAGGGAAUUCACUCAGAACUAACAAGAAUGAUAACAUGCUCCGACUGGAGCGGUUUAGGAACUGCUGGAAGGCUCUAGGGGAAUAAAGAUGGAAUGACUUCUAAUUUUUAGGUCCGUAUGAUUUGAAAUACUUGCACACAAACCGCGCGAAAGCGUUCCUGGAAAUCUCAGCCCAAAAAAGGACGUUUAGUAAUUCUAAAAGGGACUACAGGAUGAAAAACAAUAGUUUUGGCAGUUAAAGUAUGAGAUUCAACGGUGCCGUAGAUCCGUUUGGUCAUUAGGUGUUACGAGCCACACCCAUGUCUAGCUAGAAUAGUGUGCUAGGCUCAGGCUAGAGAAGAAACGGGGAACAAACUGAUGAAAGAAUGAUCAAACCGAGGG